Molecule: ribosomal RNA, 673 nt
Filed under: uncultured bacterium
Lineage: Bacteria
Description: bacterial SSU rRNA
Rfam family: Bacterial small subunit ribosomal RNA
Source: RNAcentral
AAUGAACGCUGGCGGCAUGGAUUAGGCAUGCAAGUCGAACGAGAACUAACAGCUUGCUGUUAGAGAGAGUGGCGAAAGGGUGAGUAACGCGUGAGUAACCUACCUUCAAGUUGGGGAUAACAGUUAGAAAUGACUGCUAAUACCGAAUGUGAUAGUAUUAAGGCAUCUUAAAACUAUUAAAGAUUUAUUGCUUGAAGAUGGGCUCGCGUUCCAUUAGUUAGUUGGUGAGGUAACGGCUCACCAAGACCGCGAUGGAUAGCUGGUCUGAGAGGAUGAUCAGCCACACUGGGACUGAGACACUGCCCAGACUCCUACGGGAGGCUGCAGUCGAGAAUCUUCCGCAAUGCACGAAAGUGUGACGGAGCAAUGCCGCGUGUGGGAUGACUGCCUUCGGGUUGUAAACCACUGUCACUAGGGACGAAGAUCUGACGGUACCUAGAGAGGAAGCCACGGCUAACUACGUGCCAGCAGCCGCGGUAAUACGUAGGUGGCGAGCGUUAUUCGGAUUUAUUGGGCGUAAAGGGUCCGCCGGUGGCCGAUUAAGUCUGAUGUGAAAGCCUAUGGCUCAACCAUAGAAUUGCAUUGGAAACUGAACGGCUAGAGUAUUGGAGAGGUAAGCGGAAUUUCUGGUGUAGCGGUGGAAUGCGUAGAUAUCAGAAAGAACACCGAAAGC